AUCAAUGGCAGCGGUGGUGGCCAGAGCAACCAUGUGCAUUGGCAGUGAAUGGCAGUGGGAAUGAUUAUCCUGUACUUAUUAUUUUUUAAUUCAGUUGUUUUAUAAUUUAUUUUUAUUUUUUAUUUUUAUAUCAAAGAUCCCAACCAAUUUGUAGUCUAUGUGGCAACCACAUCAGUUUAGUAACAUGUUGGAUCUUACAAAACCUACAAAAAAGGUAAGUGCACUUAAAUCACUACUAUAAUGACAUCUGGUGCACUAACUUAAAACUAUGAGGGUAUGGACUGCAUUUUGCUCACAAACUAAAGGAUGCAAGGUUACUUAUA
Molecule: long non-coding RNA, 323 nt
Filed under: Linum usitatissimum (flax)
Lineage: Eukaryota; Viridiplantae; Streptophyta; Magnoliopsida; Malpighiales; Linaceae
Description: long non-coding RNA (LUSI_LNC005294)
Source: RNAcentral